UACAGAGGUGGCGAGCGUUACUCGGAUUUAUUGGGUGUAAAGGGCAAGUAGGCGUCUUAACAAGUUAGGAGUGAAAUCCUGCAGCUCAACUGCAGAACUGCUCUUAAAACUGUUGAGAUUGAGUUUGGGAGAGGAAAGCGGAAUUCUCGGUGUAAGAGUGAAAUCUGUAGAUAUCGAGAGGAACACCAGUGGCGAAGGCGGCUUUCUGGCCCAGUACUGACGCUGAAUUGCGAAAGCUAGGGGAG
This 245-nucleotide ribosomal RNA is filed under the name uncultured bacterium. RNAcentral's name for it is "partial 16S ribosomal RNA". It matches the Rfam family "Bacterial small subunit ribosomal RNA", at positions 524 to 768 of the family's 1533-position model. The record is from RNAcentral.